This 67-nucleotide transfer RNA is filed under the name marine eukaryotic metagenome. It matches the Rfam family "tRNA". Rfam says of the family: Transfer RNA (tRNA) molecules are approximately 80 nucleotides in length. Their secondary structure includes four short double-helical elements and three loops (D, anti-codon, and T loops). The record is from RNAcentral.
GGGUGUAACUCAGUGGUAGAGUGUCAGCUUCCCAUGCUGAUGGUCGCGGGUUCGAAUCCCGUCGCCC